RNAcentral lists this long non-coding RNA (1115 nucleotides) under Capsicum annuum. RNAcentral's name for it is "long non-coding RNA (CANN_LNC008456)". Lineage: Eukaryota; Viridiplantae; Streptophyta; Magnoliopsida; Solanales; Solanaceae. The record is from RNAcentral.
CCUUCACAUUUUUUCCCUUCUCCCAUAACAAACUCAUAUACUCAUUAUACUCACCAUAAAAGAUUUACACACCUCACAAUUUACGCAAACAUUGAUGCACACAUAACAACACUCACAUAUACUCCCUUUUUCAUUUAACAUAUAUAUAUAAUACAACUCAUAUACAUUCUCACAAAAAAAAACACAUAGUAAGAAUCAAAAAAAUACUCAAAAAAAGGCAAAAUAGUAAAGAAAGUGACGGAAGAAAGAAGAGAAGGAGAAACAGAGGGAGAUUAAGAGAGGAAAAAUAGGUGGAGAGAAUUAUGAGGAAGGGGAAAGAAAAUAGUAAGAGAGGGAGAAAAAUUGAUAGAGAAAAAUAGAAUUGAAUGGUAUAGGGGAGAACAACUUUUUUCGACAAAUUUUUCACCGGAAUUGCCAUCUCCACCAGCGAUCAAGCUCUCGACCAGACCCACACAGCAAAAAAUCCACCAACUAUAUUAUCGAUUACCUUCAUUAAUGAACAACCAAAAAAUAGAGAGAAAAAUUGAUCAAAAAUCAGCACCAAAUUUUCUUUGUUUGAUACUCCAUCCAUUUCCCAUCAUUGGAUUAAAGCCGACUAGCAAACCACCGCCAAAAAAAUAAAAAAAUAAAGAGAACAAUUAGGUUGUGGCCAAAUAGAUAUUGAGGUUAUAUAUAUUAAUUGGGGUGUUCAUUAUUGAGGUCGAGUUGAGGUAUUCUGGUGUUGCUCCAAUCAUAAGUCGAGUAAUGUGAUGAUUUGGAAUUCGAUAAAGCUCGAAUUCCUUUUUCCCUAAUCUUUCUUAUAAUUUUGUGGAUCUGUGGUGAUGAUUUAUGAAAUAUUUUGUUACUAUGGUUGUUUGGUUUCUUGUUGGAAUUUGCAUAUGACAUUUUGAGGUUGUUCAUCCCUAUUUUGUGGUCUUCCAUUCUUAAUCUUGGGGAUGAGAAAUUUAUUUUGGCAUCCCAAUUGAUAUUAUUUAACUUAAAAUUGAGGAGGGAUUGGCCUUGAUAAAGUGAAUUAGUGAUUCAUUGAUGGUGGUUUAAUUAGGAAUAAAUAUUGAUAUUGUUGAACGUUAUAGUAUCAUUAUAAGUCAAAAUUAGUAGGCAAACGAUAGGUUGGG